RNAcentral lists this ribosomal RNA (466 nucleotides) under uncultured bacterium. RNAcentral describes it as "bacterial SSU rRNA". It matches the Rfam family "Bacterial small subunit ribosomal RNA", at positions 328 to 792 of the family's 1533-position model. The record is from RNAcentral.
AGCCCAGACUCCUACGGGAGGCAGCAGUGAGGAAUAUUGGUCAAUGGGCGCGAGCCUGAACCAGCCAAGUCGCGUGAGGGAAGACGGUCCUAUGGAUUGUAAACCUCUUUUGUCGGGGAGCAAAAGACGCCACGCGUGGCGUUCCGAGAGUACCCGAAGAAAAAGCAUCGGCUAACUCCGUGCCAGCAGCCGCGGUAAUACGGAGGAUGCGAGCGUUAUCCGGAUUUAUUGGGUUUAAAGGGUGCGCAGGCGGAAUGUCAAGUCAGCGAUAAAAUUUCGGGGCUCAACCCCGUCGUGCCGUUGAAACUGGCGUUCUUGAGUGAGCGAGAAGUAUGCGGAAUGCGUGGUGUAGCGGUGAGAUGCAUAGAUAUCACGCAGAACUCCGAUUGCGAAGGCAGCAUACCGGCGCUCAACUGACGCUCAUGCACGAAAGCGUGGGUAUCGAACAGGAUUAGAUACCCGAGUA